Long non-coding RNA from Conger conger (European conger), 648 nucleotides. RefSeq lists it as uncharacterized. Lineage: Eukaryota; Metazoa; Chordata; Actinopteri; Anguilliformes; Congridae. The record is from RefSeq and is a predicted model, not a curated record. The transcript has 3 exons.
GCGUUUAAAAAGUGAAGCUGGUCUGAUGAAAGUCAGAAAUCAGAAAGCUGAAAGAGAAGAUGAUGACCAUCCCUGCUGUGUUUCUGUGUCUUGCUGUGCUGCUACUGUCCCCUGGCCCAGGGGAAGCAAGUUCACCGGUGGUUUCAUGUUGUCUGAAAACGGAAAAUAAGAAAAUCCCUGUGACCCGGGUUGAUCGGUAUUCCAUGCAGAAGAAAGGAUUGUGUCCUGUGGACGCAGUGAUCUUUACCUCAGUUAAAGGCAUCACAAUCUGCUCCAAUCCCUCAGACCGCUGGGCAAAAAGAGCCAUGGCAAUUGUGGAUAGCAGGAGACAGACAAAAGUAACCACGGACAUUGCAUCACCCCACCCGUCUACAGAAGCAACUACUAUGAUGCUGAGCACAAAAGACAAAACUGCGCAAUAAUUCUUUACCUUUGUACCACAUUGGAUUUCAGAAUUGUCUUGACGCAUGUGUUGAUAUGCUUGCAAAUAUAUGCUAUGUUGAAUAUUUUCUUCAUAAUGUUUUGGGGAUUGGACAGGCACUUUACUACUGAACACCUUAUAUUAUAUUAUAUUAUUUAAGCUCAUUUUUCAGUGUCUUGGAAUGUGUAUUUAACUGUAUUAUAAUAAAUCACAUAUAUUUUAUUGCA